UACGUAGGGACCGAGCGUUGUCCGGAAUCAUUGGGCGUAAAGAGCGUGUAGGCGGCCAGGUAGGUCGGUUGUGAAACUGGAGGCUCAACCUUCAGAGGUCGACCGAAACCAUCUGGCUAGAGUCCGGGAGAGGAGAGUGGAAUUCCUGGUGUAGCGGUGAAAUGCGCAGAUAUCAGGAAGAACACCCGUGGCGAAAGCGGCUCUCUGGAACGGUACUGACGCUGAGACGCGAAAGCGUGGGGAGCGAACAGG
This 252-nucleotide ribosomal RNA is filed under the name uncultured bacterium. RNAcentral's name for it is "partial 16S ribosomal RNA". It matches the Rfam family "Bacterial small subunit ribosomal RNA", at positions 524 to 776 of the family's 1533-position model. The record is from RNAcentral.